CGGACCGGCGCACGGGUGCGUAACGCGUAUGCAACCUACCUUUAACAGGGGGAGUAACACUGAGAAAUUGGUACUAAUACCCCAUAAUAUCAUAGAAGGCAUCUUUUAUGGUUGAAAAUUCCGAUGGUUAGAGAUGGGCAUGCGUUGUAUUAGCUAGUUGGUGGGGUAACGGCUCACCAAGGCGACGAUACAUAGGGGGACUGAGAGGUUAACCCCCCACACUGGUACUGAGACACGGACCAG
This 243-nucleotide ribosomal RNA is filed under the name uncultured bacterium. RNAcentral describes it as "partial 16S ribosomal RNA". It matches the Rfam family "Bacterial small subunit ribosomal RNA", at positions 91 to 334 of the family's 1533-position model. The record is from RNAcentral.